This is a small nucleolar RNA of Stegostoma tigrinum, 135 nucleotides long. RefSeq annotates it as small nucleolar RNA SNORA84. The transcript has a single exon. NCBI's taxonomy places the organism in Eukaryota, Metazoa, Chordata, Chondrichthyes, Orectolobiformes, Stegostomatidae. The record is from RefSeq and is a predicted model, not a curated record.
GCCCUGUGGUUACUGUAGACUGGGAGGACUGUACAGUUCUGCAGUUAAGAAUGGGCAAACAAUAAUACUGUGAUAUUUGCAUAGAGUCUGAAAUGGUUAACCUUCAGUCUCCAUAGCCCGGUCGCAGGAACAGUG